This 254-nucleotide ribosomal RNA is filed under the name uncultured bacterium. RNAcentral describes it as "partial 16S ribosomal RNA". It matches the Rfam family "Bacterial small subunit ribosomal RNA", at positions 524 to 776 of the family's 1533-position model. The record is from RNAcentral.
UACGGAGGGUGCGAGCGUUGUCCGGAAUCAUUGGGCGUAAAGGGCGCGUAGGUGGCCCGGUCAGUUCGUGGUGAAAGCGCGGGGCUCAACCCUGCGUCGGCCAUGAAUACUGCCGCGGCUGGAGCACUGUAGAGGCAGGCGGAAUUCCGGGUGUAGCGGUGGAAUGCGUAGAGAUCCGGAAGAACACCAGUGGCGAAGGCGGCCCGCUGGGCAGUGGCUGACGCUGAGGCGCGACAGCGUGGGGAGCAAACAGG